This 809-nucleotide ribosomal RNA is filed under the name uncultured Caulobacter sp. RNAcentral describes it as "bacterial SSU rRNA". It matches the Rfam family "Bacterial small subunit ribosomal RNA", at positions 58 to 914 of the family's 1533-position model. The record is from RNAcentral. Lineage: Bacteria; Pseudomonadati; Pseudomonadota; Alphaproteobacteria; Caulobacterales; Caulobacteraceae.
CAAGUCGAACGGACCCUUCGGGGUUAGUGGCAGACGGGUGAGUAACACGUGGGAACGUGCCUUUUGGUUCGGAACAACUCAGGGAAACUUGAGCUAAUACCGGAUGUGCCCUUCGGGGGAAAGAUUUAUCGCCAUUAGAGCGGCCCGCGUCUGAUUAGCUAGUUGGUGAGGUAAAGGCUCACCAAGGCUUCGAUCAGUAGCUGGUCUGAGAGGAUGAUCAGCCACACUGGGACUGAGACACGGCCCAGACUCCUACGGGAGGCAGCAGUGGGGAAUCUUGCGCAAUGGGCGAAAGCCUGACGCAGCCAUGCCGCGUGAAUGAUGAAGGUCUUAGGAUUGUAAAAUUCUUUCACCGGGGAAGAUAAUGACGGUACCCGGAGAAGAAGCCCCGGCUAACUUCGUGCCAGCAGCCGCGGUAAUACGAAGGGGGCUAGCGUUGCUCGGAAUUACUGGGCGUAAAGGGCGCGUAGGCGGACAGUUAAGUCAGAGGUGAAAGCCCAGGGCUCAACCCUGGAAUUGCCUUUGAUACUGGCUGUCUUGAGUGCGGGAGAGGUGUGUGGAACUCCGAGUGUAGAGGUGAAAUUCGUAGAUAUUCGGAAGAACACCAGUGGCGAAGGCGACACACUGGCCCGUAACUGACGCUGUGGCGCGAAAGCGUGGGGAGCAAACAGGAUUAGAUACCCUGGUAGUCCACGCCGUAAACGAUGAGUGCUAGUUGUCGGCAUGCAUGCAUGUCGGUGACGCAGCUAACGCAUUAAGCACUCCGCCUGGGGAGUACGGUCGCAAGAUUAAAACUCAAAGGAAUUGAC